AUUGAACGCUGGCGGCAGGCCUAACACAUGCAAGUCGAACGAGUGGCGGACGGGUGAGUAAUGUCUGGGACCCUGCCCGAUGGGGGGGGAUAACUACUGGAAACGGUAGCUAAUCCCGCAUACCAUCGGAUGUGCCCAGAUGGGCUUAGCUAGUAGGGGGGGUAAAGGCCUACCAAGGCGACGAUCCGAAACUGGUCUGAGAGGAUGAUCAGUCACACUGGAACUGAGACCCGGUCCAGCCUCCUACGGGAGGCAGAAGUGGGGAAUAUUGGAAAAUGGGGGAAAGCCUGACCCAGCCAGGCCGCGUGGGUGAAGAAGGUCUUGGGAUUGUAAAGCACUUUAAGUUGGGAGGCGUUACCAACAGAAUAAGCACCGGCUAACUUCGUGCCAGCCGCCGCGGUAAUAC
RNAcentral lists this ribosomal RNA (406 nucleotides) under uncultured bacterium. Its description in RNAcentral is "partial 16S ribosomal RNA". It matches the Rfam family "Bacterial small subunit ribosomal RNA", at positions 30 to 526 of the family's 1533-position model. The record is from RNAcentral.